AUUAUUUAAAAGUUAAUUUCUGGGUUUUUGGCUGGAGUUAAUUUCUGUUUGUUUGAUCUAUGUUGUGACUGUUAUUUGAAGGUUUCCUUGUUUUAAAUUGAUGGAUGAUACUAGAAUCAAGCAUUCUGAAUUUUUAUUUUUGCUGCCCUGUUAAAAAAUUUAGUUAUUUUGGUUGGUUCUAACUUGCCGUAUGGCGUAUGCGUGCUUAGAAAUCUGGGAGAAAGGAGCAGAAAACAAAAUGUAUUGUAGUUUAAAAUUUUCCCAGCCGAUUAAAAAUCUAAAAAUUGAGAAAUUUAAGUUCUUUUCUUUCAUUCCAUUUUUUAACAAGCAAAAGGGCUGCUUUAUCUUUCUCUGAUUAAUUACUCGAUCGAGUUAAUUUCGGUUGGUAAACACUGACCCACAUUUUGCUUUUAAGUUGAGAAGUCCUUUUA
RNAcentral lists this unclassified non-coding RNA (431 nucleotides) under Hevea brasiliensis (rubber tree). The record is from RNAcentral. Lineage: Eukaryota; Viridiplantae; Streptophyta; Magnoliopsida; Malpighiales; Euphorbiaceae.